GACGUAGGGCGCGAGCGUUGUCCGGAUUUAUUGGGCGUAAAGGGCGCGUAGGCGGCCUGCUAAGUCGAACGUGAAAUCCCUGGGCUCAACCCAGGAACUGCGUCCGAUACUGGUUGGCUUGAAUCCGGGAGAGGGAUGUGGAAUUCCAGGUGUAGCGGUGAAAUGCGUAGAUAUCUGGAGGAACACCGGUGGCGAAGGCGGCGACCUGGGUAGAUACUGACGCUGAGGUGCGAAAGCGUGGGGAGCAAACAGG
RNAcentral lists this ribosomal RNA (253 nucleotides) under uncultured bacterium. RNAcentral describes it as "partial 16S ribosomal RNA". It matches the Rfam family "Bacterial small subunit ribosomal RNA", at positions 524 to 776 of the family's 1533-position model. The record is from RNAcentral.